Molecule: non-coding RNA, 937 nt
Organism: Phalacrocorax carbo (great cormorant)
Lineage: Eukaryota; Metazoa; Chordata; Aves; Suliformes; Phalacrocoracidae
Source: RefSeq, a predicted model, not a curated record
CCUGUCACGUGGCUCGCCGGGGCGCGGCGGGAGGCGCGGUGUUCCGGCGCUCGGGUGCCGGGCGGCCGUGCCGCGUACGGUAGGCGCGGUGUAUUUUUGGGGUUGGAUUCGUGUUGAUUUCUGGGGGCUUGCGGGUGCGGCCGCUCCCCGAGAAGCGAGACCGUGCUGAGGACGUGGUUGUCUGUCCUUCCCCCGGGGAUGCCGUUGACUGCAGCCGUCUCAGGCUUGCGUGGCUUCUCUCUGCCCGGCGUUGCCAUCCUCGCAGCGCGGGGGCGAAAAGGGACACACAGAGCCCUUCCCGGCUGUGGACAGGAGCUGCCUCGGCUGAAGCUGGAGACGCCAACGAAAGGUGGAGGACGGCCUAGAGUCUGGAGCUGCAGAAGAGGCAGGGCGGAGAGGAGGGGAAAGAAGCAUCUGAACGGCUAAAUUGUGCCAGCAGCGCUGAGAGCGAGAGUCGCGGUGAGUCCUGGGCCACUGGGGCCCCGUUGCCUCUCUUGUGCGUCCUGGGCCCUCCCUGUCUCUCCCCCCUGGCCCCCUCUCUUUCCUUACCUGCUGCAAAAUUUUUUUUUUUUUUUUUUUGGCGCCCCCCCGCCCCUUCUUUCUCCAUCUCGCUCUGAGUGGCUCCCUGCCUCCCCGUCUUUUCAGUCCUCCCUCUCUCUGUCCUGUAGCCUGUGGCUACUUGUUCUUUCUCCGCCUCUCUCUGCCUGGCUCUGGCUCCGUUUUUAUUUUUUUAUUCCUCCUGCUCUGUUCUGUAGCCUGUCGGUAUUUUGUCUUUCUCUGGCCCUCUUGGUCUGACUCCGUGUGUUACCGAAAAACGCGGUAAAAUCGGAAACAACUCCUCAACGCCGAUUUAGUAUUAAAGAGCAGGCGUUCUUUAUUCACGGCGCCAGAUGCACGGGGGAUCGCUCCUCCUGGCGUGCGUACCUCACACACCUUU